RNAcentral lists this ribosomal RNA (495 nucleotides) under uncultured bacterium. Its description in RNAcentral is "bacterial SSU rRNA". It matches the Rfam family "Bacterial small subunit ribosomal RNA", at positions 355 to 860 of the family's 1533-position model. The record is from RNAcentral.
UGGGGAAUAUUGCACAAUGGGCGCAAGCCUGAUGCAGCGACGCCGCGUGGGGGAUGAAGGCCUUCGGGUUGUAAACCCCUUUCAGCAGGGAAGAAGCGAAAGUGACGGUACCUGCAGAAGAAGCGCCGGCUAACUACGUGCCAGCAGCCGCGGUAAUACGUAGGGCGCAAGCGUUGUCCGGAAUUAUUGGGCGUAAAGAGCUCGUAGGCGGUCUGUCGCGUCUGCUGUGAAAACCCGAGGCUCAACCUCGGGCCUGCAGUGGGUACGGGCAGACUAGAGUGUGGUAGGGGAGACUGGAAUUCCUGGUGUAGCGGUGGAAUGCGCAGAUAUCAGGAGGAACACCAAUGGCGAAGGCAGGUCUCUGGGCCACAACUGACGCUGAGGAGCGAAAGCAUGGGGAGCGAACAGGAUUAGAUACCCUGGUAGUCCAUGCCGUAAACGGUGGGCACUAGAUGUGGGGCUCUUUCCAUGAGUUCCGCGUCGCAGCUAACGCAC